Molecule: long non-coding RNA, 1067 nt
Filed under: Triticum aestivum (bread wheat)
Lineage: Eukaryota; Viridiplantae; Streptophyta; Magnoliopsida; Poales; Poaceae
Description: long non-coding RNA (TAES_LNC002247)
Source: RNAcentral
AGCUGGCAUUACACCUAUUUUGGUAAACUAUUUCGAGAGCUGGCAUUACAUCAUCUGUUGCGGCUCUUAUUUCAUGCGCCUUCUUGAAAGAGCACAUGUAGAAGAAAAUAUGGUGAAAUAAUAAAGUUUGUAGAGCAAGACAAUGGAUUCCAUCAACUCCAAAGUCUCAAGUUCUCAUGUUUUCUGACCUCAAUAUUAACGUGAGGUGAAUGAAGAUGAUGUCAUGUCUUGUUGCAGGGUGAUUGAGGAGACAUGUCUUGUUGCAGGGUGAUUGAGGAGUAAAUGCAAAGGAACAAAGAGUAACUGAUAAGUGUGUUGUUGUUCAGAUUAGGCAUCUGCGUAGGUACUGUGUGUAGUUGCAACCCCCACUCAUAUGUGUGAAUUUAAUCUACUUCCUUUUCUUCCCGUUCAAAUAUAGGGUAAAAGUAAUGUUUAAUUUUUUUAUUCAACCCAUCAGAUUUUUUUGUUGGAAUCAAGUUCAAGACAUGUCUUUUGCUGAUUGCGCCAGCGGAGCUGCAAGAGUGGUGGACAUGCAACACGGGGAGGUGAAAGAAGGGAGGAUCAGGAAGGAUGGAGGGAGGUGACAAAGCUGAGAGAAAGGAGGGAGACACCAAGGAAUGUGGCAUGGGAAGAAAGUGAAGUUGUGCCCCAAGGCUAUAGCGUGAUCGUGUAGAAUUGUUACCUUUCCAUCAAUGCUAAGGUUCAUUGUCAUUUUUAAAAUCUGGCACUUGAAGAUCCACACAAUUGUUGUCGAGGAAGAUGGUAAACUCAAUGAGGAUGAUAAUUGGGGUUAUUUUGAAGCUCGGUGUUUGGUGGACUACUCUCGCAGUAAAGAGGACAAGGCAUGCAAACAUGAGUAACUGAUAAGUUUGUGUAAUCACUUCCAUUUUUUCUAGGAACAUUGAAUAUAAUUGAUUUUGUAAAAAAGCGGCAGAGAAGAUUGUACUUUUGGACCUUCAGGUGAAGCGGGAAUUAUAUCAUUGUGAUAUCAAAUAAUUGUUCAUUGGUUGUUUGAAUGAGUUGUUGACAUAUGAUUGAUGUAUGAUAAAUGUGCGAUGUGAAGUUUG